RNAcentral lists this non-coding RNA (30 nucleotides) under Homo sapiens (human). Lineage: Eukaryota; Metazoa; Chordata; Mammalia; Primates; Hominidae. The record is from RNAcentral.
UGAGCUAGACACAGGGUGCUGAUUGGUGUG